This 318-nucleotide long non-coding RNA is filed under the name Anser brachyrhynchus (Pink-footed goose). RNAcentral describes it as "lncRNA (ENSABRG00000000239.1)". Lineage: Eukaryota; Metazoa; Chordata; Aves; Anseriformes; Anatidae. The record is from RNAcentral.
UUGUAGAGUAAGCAGAGGUAGUAUGGAGUUUACAAAUUACUUGGAAAAAGUGGCAAAGGCAACCUCUCUCUAGCUUGUGAUUGGAUUCCUAGGGCUGUCACCUGGACCAGUACUACUAUGCUGUUCUCUGCAGUAAGCAUUACCCACCAGAGGGAGCCGAAGCCAAGAACUGUCAGAUUUUGAUCUGCCUUCCAGUUCUCAAGAGCGUUCCCUACUGCAGCCAAGUUCCAACUGAAGGCAGAAAAUUUCAGCAAUGACCUUAUUUGCACCUGCUUCAUUAAUCAUCUGGGCUCUCAUCUCAUAGUAUUCAGCCAUAUU